Molecule: ribosomal RNA, 403 nt
Filed under: uncultured Hyphomicrobiales bacterium
Lineage: Bacteria; Pseudomonadati; Pseudomonadota; Alphaproteobacteria; Hyphomicrobiales
Description: bacterial SSU rRNA
Rfam family: Bacterial small subunit ribosomal RNA
Source: RNAcentral
UGGGGAAUAUUGGACAAUGGGCGCAAGCCUGAUCCAGCCAUGCCGCGUGGGUGAAGAAGGCCUUAGGGUUGUAAACCCCUUUCAGCGGGGAAGAUAAUGACGGUACCCGCAGAAGAAGUCCCGGCUAACUCCGUGCCAGCAGCCGCGGUAAUACGGAGGGGACUAGCGUUGUUCGGAAUUACUGGGCGUAAAGCGCGCGUAGGCGGACCUGCAAGUCGGGGGUGAAAGCCCGAGGCUCAACCUCGGAACUGCCUUCGAUACUGCGGAUCUCGAGUCCGGGAGAGGUGAGUGGAAUUCCUAGUGUAGAGGUGAAAUUCGUAGAUAUUAGGAAGAACACCAGUGGCGAAGGCGGCUUCACUGGCCCGGUACUGACGCUGAGGCGCGAAAGCGUGGGGAGCAAACA